Molecule: transfer RNA, 75 nt
Filed under: Caudoviricetes sp.
Lineage: Duplodnaviria; Heunggongvirae; Uroviricota; Caudoviricetes
Description: tRNA-Glu
Rfam family: tRNA
About the family: Transfer RNA (tRNA) molecules are approximately 80 nucleotides in length. Their secondary structure includes four short double-helical elements and three loops (D, anti-codon, and T loops).
Source: RNAcentral
GGCCCGUUAGUCAAGUGGUUAAGACAUUGGAUUUUCAUUCCAGUAACAUCGGUUCAAAUCCGGUACGGGUCACCA